GGAAACCCAGUGUGUUUCGACACACUAUCAUUAACUGAAUCCAUAGGUUAAUGAGGCGAACCGGGGGAACUGAAACAUCUAAGUACCCCGAGGAAAAGAAAUCAACCGAGAUUCCCCCAGUAGCGGCGAGCGAACGGGGAGGAGCCCAGAGCCUGAAUCAGUGUGUGUGUUAGUGGAAGCGUCUGGAAAGGCGCGCGAUACAGGGUGACAGCCCCGUACACAAAAAUGCACAUGCUGUGAGCUCGAUGAGUAGGGCGGGACACGUGGUAUCCUGUCUGAAUAUGGGGGGACCAUCCUCCAAGGCUAAAUACUCCUGACUGACCGAUAGUGAACCAGUACCGUGAGGGAAAGGCGAAAAGAACCCCGGCGAGGGGAGUGAAAAAGAACCUGAAACCGUGUACGUACAAGCAGUGGGAGCACGCUUAGGCGUGUGACUGCGUACCUUUUGUAUAAUGGGUCAGCGACUUAUAUUCUGUAGCAAGGUUAACCGAAUAGGGGAGCCGAAGGGAAACCGAGUCUUAACUGGGCGUUAAGUUGCAGGGUAUAGACCCGAAACCCGGUGAUCUAGCCAUGGGCAGGUUGAAGGUUGGGUAACACUAACUGGAGGACCGAACCGACUAAUGUUGAAAAAUUAGCGGAUGACUUGUGGCUGGGGGUGAAAGGCCAAUCAAACCGGGAGAUAGCUGGUUCUCCCCGAAAGCUAUUUAGGUAGCGCCUCGUGAAUUCAUCUCCGGGGGUAGAGCACUGUUUCGGCAAGGGGGUCAUCCCGACUUACCAACCCGAUGCAAACUGCGAAUACCGGAGAAUGUUAUCACGGGAGACACACGGCGGGUGCUAACGUCCGUCGUGAAGAGGGAAACAACCCAGACCGCCAGCUAAGGUCCCAAAGUCAUGGUUAAGUGGGAAACGAUGUGGGAAGGCCCAGACAGCCAGGAUGUUGGCUUAGAAGCAGCCAUCAUUUAAAGAAAGCGUAAUAGCUCACUGGUCGAGUCGGCCUGCGCGGAAGAUGUAACGGGGCUAAACCAUGCAC
Molecule: ribosomal RNA, 1030 nt
Filed under: Escherichia coli
Lineage: Bacteria; Pseudomonadati; Pseudomonadota; Gammaproteobacteria; Enterobacterales; Enterobacteriaceae
Description: partial 23S ribosomal RNA
Rfam family: Bacterial large subunit ribosomal RNA
Source: RNAcentral